GACAGAGGGUGCAAACGUUGUUCGGAAUUACUGGGCGUAAAGCGCGUGUAGGCGGCUAUGUAAGUCGGGCGUGAAAUCCCACGGCUCAACCGUGGAAGUGCACCCGAAACUGCGUAGCUAGAGUCCUGGAGAGGAAGGCGGAAUUCUCGGUGUAGAGGUGAAAUUCGUAGAUAUCGAGAGGAACACCGGUGGCGAAGGCGGCCUUCUGGACAGUGACUGACGCUGAGACGCGAAAGCGUGGGGA
Molecule: ribosomal RNA, 244 nt
Filed under: uncultured bacterium
Lineage: Bacteria
Description: partial 16S ribosomal RNA
Rfam family: Bacterial small subunit ribosomal RNA
Source: RNAcentral